Molecule: long non-coding RNA, 211 nt
Filed under: Theobroma cacao (cacao)
Lineage: Eukaryota; Viridiplantae; Streptophyta; Magnoliopsida; Malvales; Malvaceae
Description: long non-coding RNA (TCAC_LNC001212)
Source: RNAcentral
ACCUUCACGUGGUGGUUCGGCGUUAAGUGAACUCUAACGUUACCUUAAGAGAUACCCUCCGCGCCUCUCGUACUAAGGUAAAAUAUAACGGGGUUUACCGUGCCCCUCUCAUGGGCCGGUUGUCACGACCCAAUUUCCCUGGCCAUGACCGGCGCAUGAGCUCAAUGAGCAUAGCUCACUAAGCCCAAGCAAGCCUAUCAAUUUACCUUUG